UCAGGUGGAAAAUCCCCAUCGAAGCAAAAUAUUAUUAAAACUCCACACCUCAAUUAACCUACAAUCAUUUCUCUAACAAGCAUAUAAAUCACUACAUAGAGAAUACUUUUCAUCUCAUAUAAUGAUGUUUUCAAUAUCAUUUUCAUUCUAGGCCAAUAACAUGGUGACGUUUUGAAGUAGAAAUUUGUACCCGCACCGUCACGCACCGUAAGAUCAAACGCCAGAGCAGCCGCAACCGCAGCAAUGAUGAUCAAGAAAGCCAUUCUCAAGGCCAUUUGAGAACGACCUCCGGUUCGAUUCUAUAUUGAAUAUACUAUUUGUACGAGAAUUGAAUUAGCAGACUUUUUUAUCUCACACGGCUCAUGGAAAAUGAUAAAUGGAGUCACAUUUUUUUUCUUAAUG
This 402-nucleotide long non-coding RNA is filed under the name Erythranthe guttata (spotted monkey flower). RNAcentral describes it as "long non-coding RNA (EGUT_LNC000737)". Lineage: Eukaryota; Viridiplantae; Streptophyta; Magnoliopsida; Lamiales; Phrymaceae. The record is from RNAcentral.